Molecule: ribosomal RNA, 535 nt
Filed under: Micrococcus sp. SAUK6043
Lineage: Bacteria; Bacillati; Actinomycetota; Actinomycetes; Micrococcales; Micrococcaceae
Description: bacterial SSU rRNA
Rfam family: Bacterial small subunit ribosomal RNA
Source: RNAcentral
ACCUGCCCUUAACUCUGGGAUAAGCCUGGGAAACUGGGUCUAAUACCGGAUAGGAGCGCCUACCGCAUGGUGGGUGUUGGAAAGAUUUAUCGGUUUUGGAUGGACUCGCGGCCUAUCAGCUUGUUGGUGAGGUAAUGGCUCACCAAGGCGACGACGGGUAGCCGGCCUGAGAGGGUGACCGGCCACACUGGGACUGAGACACGGCCCAGACUCCUACGGGAGGCAGCAGUGGGGAAUAUUGCACAAUGGGCGCAAGCCUGAUGCAGCGACGCCGCGUGAGGGAUGACGGCCUUCGGGUUGUAAACCUCUUUCAGUAGGGAAGAAGCGAAAGUGACGGUACCUGCAGAAGAAGCACCGGCUAACUACGUGCCAGCAGCCGCGGUAAUACGUAGGGUGCGAGCGUUAUCCGGAAUUAUUGGGCGUAAAGAGCUCGUAGGCGGUUUGUCGCGUCUGUCGUGAAAGUCCGGGGCUUAACCCCGGAUCUGCGGUGGGUACGGGCAGACUAGAGUGCAGUAGGGGAGACUGGAAUUCCUGG